GACGAACGCUGGCGGCGUGCUUAACACAUGCGAGUCGAACGGAAAGGCCCUGCUUUUGUGGGGUGCUCGAGUGGCGAACGGGUGAGUAACACGUGAGUAACCUGCCCUUGACUUUGGGAUAACUUCAGGAAACUGGGGCUAAUACCGGAUAGGAGCUCCUGCUGCAUGGUGGGGGUUGGAAAGUUUCGGCGGUUGGGGAUGGACUCGCGGCUUAUCAGCUUGUUGGUGGGGUAGUGGCUUACCAAGGCUUUGACGGGUAGCCGGCCUGAGAGGGUGACCGGCCACAUUGGGACUGAGAUACGGCCCAGACUCCUACGGGAGGCAGCAGUGGGGGAUAUUGCACAAUGGGCGGAAGCCUGAUGCAGCAACGCCGCGUGCGGGAUGACGGCCUUCGGGUUGUAAACCGCUUUCGCCUGUGACGAAGCGUGAGUGACGGUAAUGGGUAAAGAAGCACCGGCUAACUACG
RNAcentral lists this ribosomal RNA (466 nucleotides) under uncultured bacterium. Its description in RNAcentral is "partial 16S ribosomal RNA". It matches the Rfam family "Bacterial small subunit ribosomal RNA", at positions 28 to 505 of the family's 1533-position model. The record is from RNAcentral.